UACGAAGGGGGCUAGCGUUGCUCGGAAUGACUGGGCGUAAAGGGCGCGUAGGCGGUUUGUACAGUCAGGUGUGAAAUUCCCGGGCUCAACCUGGGGGCUGCACUUGAUACUAUGGACUGGGAGUGGGGAAGAGGGUCGUGGGAAUUCCCAGUGUAGAGGUGAAAUUCGUAGAUAUUGGGAAGAACACCGGUGGCGAAGGCGGCUCUCUGGGACCGAUACUGACGCUGAGGGCGCGAAAAGCGUGGGGGAGCAAAACAGG
This 259-nucleotide ribosomal RNA is filed under the name uncultured bacterium. RNAcentral's name for it is "partial 16S ribosomal RNA". It matches the Rfam family "Bacterial small subunit ribosomal RNA", at positions 524 to 776 of the family's 1533-position model. The record is from RNAcentral.